RNAcentral lists this ribosomal RNA (271 nucleotides) under uncultured bacterium. RNAcentral's name for it is "partial 16S ribosomal RNA". It matches the Rfam family "Bacterial small subunit ribosomal RNA", at positions 524 to 794 of the family's 1533-position model. The record is from RNAcentral.
GACAUAGGUGGCAAGCGUUAUUCGGAAUUACUAGGCGUAAAGCGAGUGUAGGCGGGCGCUUAAGUCCGACGUUAAAUCUCCAGGCUUAACUUGGAGCUGUCGUUGGAUACUGGGCGUCUCGAGAGGGGUAGGGGGCAGUGGAAUUCCCGGUGUAGCGGUGAAAUGGGUAGAUAUCGGGAGGAACACCAUUGGCGAAAGCGGCUCACCAGGCCAUUACUGACGCUGAGCCACGAAAGCGUGGGGAGCAAACAGGAUUAGAAACCCUGGUAGU